This 216-nucleotide ribosomal RNA is filed under the name Glomeromycotina sp. RNAcentral's name for it is "partial small subunit ribosomal RNA". The stretch from base 40 to 216 matches the Rfam family "Eukaryotic small subunit ribosomal RNA", at positions 686 to 864 of the family's 1831-position model. The record is from RNAcentral. Lineage: Eukaryota; Fungi; Glomeromycota.
GGGUCAGUAGGUUGGUCGUGCCACCGGUACGUACUGGUCUCACUGAUUCCUCCUUCCUGAAGAACCGUAAUGCCAUUAAUUUGGUGUUGCGGGGAAACAGGACUGUUACUUUGAAAAAAUUAGAGUGUUUAAAGCAAGCUAACGCUUGAAUACAUUAGCAUGGCAUAAUGAAAUAGGACGAUCGAUCCUAUUUUGUUGGUUUCUAGGAUUGACGUA